AUUUUCGAGUUUAAUCUCUGUACUCACUGCAAAAAAAAAUUACAUUCAACUGAAUGGCAACCCAUGAAUUCAACUGAGUCUUGUGACUGCCAGCAUAUGUAUUAUACUCCAGUGUAAGAUCUAAGAAACACCAUUGCAGCCAAGGCAGGACUCUGAAAACCGAAAAACGCUAAGUUGAGCCCAUGUUAAAGAGUACUAGAAAGCAUUGCCAGUUCCUGUGGUCAGGAUGGGAAGCCACGAUGCUGAAUAAAAUCCUGUCAUGCUCAGUGCAUG
Molecule: non-coding RNA, 273 nt
Organism: Agelaius phoeniceus (red-winged blackbird)
Lineage: Eukaryota; Metazoa; Chordata; Aves; Passeriformes; Icteridae
Source: RefSeq, a predicted model, not a curated record